Molecule: ribosomal RNA, 744 nt
Filed under: uncultured bacterium
Lineage: Bacteria
Description: bacterial SSU rRNA
Rfam family: Bacterial small subunit ribosomal RNA
Source: RNAcentral
AGAGUUUGAUCCUGGCUCAGAUUGAACGCUGGCGGCAUGCUUUACACAUGCAAGUCGAACGGCAGCACGGGGGGUAACUCCUGGUGGCGAGUGGCGAACGGGUGAGUAAUAUAUCGGAACGUGUCCUGUAGCGGGGGAUAACCUAUCGAAAGAUGGACUAAUACCGCAUACGCUCUACGGAGGAAAGCGGGGGUUUUCGGGCAACUGAGGACCUCGCACUAUAGGAGCGGCCGAUAUCGGAUUAGCUAGUUGGCGGGGUAAAAGCCCACCAAGGCGACGAUCCGUAGCUGGUCUGAGAGGAUGAUCAGCCACACUGGAACUGAGACACGGUCCAGACUCCUACGGGAGGCAGCAGUGGGGAAUUUUGGACAAUGGGCGCAAGCCUGAUCCAGCAAUGCCGCGUGAGUGAAGAAGGCCUUCGGGUUGUAAAGCUCUUUCGGCAGGAACGAAAUGGUUCGUGCUAAUACCACGGACUGAUGACGGUACCUGAAGAAGAAGCACCGGCUAACUACGUGCCAGCAGCCGCGGUAAUACGUAGGGUGCAGGCGUUAAUCGGAAUUACUGGGCGUAAAGCGUGCGCAGGCGGUUUCUUAAGUCAGAUGUGAAAGCCCCGGGCUUAACCUGGGAACAGCGUUUGAAACUGGGAGACUUGAGUGUGGCAGAGGGGGGUGGAAUUCCACGUGUAGCAGUGAAAUGCGUAGAUAUGUGGAGGAACACCGAUGGCGAAGGCAGCCCCCUGGGUUA